CGGGGUGAGUAAUGUCUGGGAAACUGCCUGAUGGAGGGGGAUAACUGCUGGAAACGGUAGCUAAUACCGCAUAACGUCGCAAGACCAAAGAGGGGGACCUUCGGGCCUCUUGCCAUCGGAUGUGCCCAGAUGGGAUUAGCUAGUAGGUGGGGUAACGGCUCACCUAGGCGACGAUCCCUGCUGGUCUGAGAGGAUGGCCAGCCACACUGGAACUGAGACACGGUCCAG
Molecule: ribosomal RNA, 228 nt
Filed under: uncultured bacterium
Lineage: Bacteria
Description: partial 16S ribosomal RNA
Rfam family: Bacterial small subunit ribosomal RNA
Source: RNAcentral